CUAUGGAGCAAUGUUUUUUUUUAAAUAUUAGAUCGGCAAUUAAAACUAUAAAUAAUCUUUUUGAAUCAAACGAUAAUCGGAUAAAAGCUUAUCAGUUGUUAGAAGAAUUUAAGAAAGGUUCUAAUAUUGUUGAGAAUGCCACAAAAAUUGCCAAAACGGAUAUUUUACAAGAUAAUGAUAUACCAAUUGUCUUAUAUGGGUAUCAAAUGAUAAAGGAAAUUGUAGAAAUAUUAUGGGAAACUUUAUCAUAUCAAAUGACACAACAUAUUAGAACUUUUAUAACUGAAAUAAUGAUGAAAAUAAAAGAUUCAAACUUUAAUGAUGCAAUACCUAUAUGUAAUCUAUCAAAAUUAUAUGAAAUAAAUUAUGUUAAGAAAUAUUAUAUUUAUGGCCUUAUAAAAGAUAUUAUUGCAAAAAUUAUUAUUGAA
Molecule: long non-coding RNA, 428 nt
Organism: Gordionus sp. m RMFG-2023
Lineage: Eukaryota; Metazoa; Nematomorpha; Gordioida; Chordodea; Parachordodidae
Exons: 3
Source: RefSeq, a predicted model, not a curated record